Anser cygnoides (Swan goose) is the source of this 2825-nucleotide long non-coding RNA. NCBI's taxonomy places the organism in Eukaryota, Metazoa, Chordata, Aves, Anseriformes, Anatidae. The record is from Ensembl.
AUGGCGGCCUCGGGUGUCUCGCAGCUUCCCGAGCGGUGCCGGGCGGUGGCAGGGCGUCCCGGCGGGGACCGUCCCGCAACCUCCCCGCCACCUCCCCGCGUCCCGCUGGGUGGCGCUGCCGGUCCGCCGCCGGCACCGGUGCGCUCCGGGCGGCACCUCGCGCCUUCGGCAAACCGCCUCAAGCGGUCCCUGCGACUUUCCUCGGAGACGGCAGCAAGCAGACGCAGCUAUAGCAAAGGCCGUGAGAACAAUCAACGUGAUUUUCAAAGGUUUAUAGAGAGGGAAUUUGACGCCCCUGCUUUUAAUCUGGAUGUGAGUUGAUACAGAUCAGCUGGUGUAUAGAUACACAAGGCAUUUUUCCCCAGCAGUUCUCCGAUCACUUGUUCCAGUCACAAAUUGUUAAUAAUUUAGAGACAAAUUGAGAAUUAAACAAGCUACAGGAAGUGUUGGUGUAAUGAUUCUUUGGAGUGACUCGAUGUGCCUGAGGGUGUAGUCAUCUGAAGGGCCCAAUUUACAGAAGACAUUGUAAACUGCUGUCACCGUGAUCAACAAGAUUCAUGGUAGGCACUCAAAAUCACCAAUAAUGGAAAUUUCUGUCUGACAACAACAACAAAAAACAUUAUAGACACCUUCCACAACAUCCAUGGGCAUGUUCAUGGUGACCCCCUGAUGCCUCACACGCUGACCAUGAGACUCACAGUCAGCUCCUGCCUUCAUUUUCCCGAGGGAUAUAUUUCACACAUCUCUGGCCUAAAGCAGCAGAGCACAGCACUUUUUUUCCUGCUGUUAUUCUGUCCAGCAAAUUGUUUUCAUUGGCCUGACCUGUGACUUGCUGAGCACAUGAGGCUGAAGUCAGGGAGUGGAAGAAACUGCAGAUCUGUGUUGCAUCUGGAGCCCAUGGCCUGUGUGAGAUGCUGCUCUUGGAGGUGCAGCCGUAUACCAGGAACCCUCUCCUAACCCUAACCACAUGCCAGAUCUAUAAAUGUACCCCAUAUUUGAGCGCACAGAAUUGCAGACACUAGGAGAAAGGAAAGUCUCAGAAUAUUUGAGCUACAUCCACAGAAUUUCAAUAGUUAUGGCACGGCACAUAGGGAAAUUCCUGAGGCCUAACUAUUCCUGUGAAACUGCUGCUCAGAUAUUUCUAUGCAUUUAUAUAUUGCUAGCUUGAUCUCUUUGUGUGUGUGUCACAGGAAUGGAGGUAUUUGGAUACUGGAAUAUCAGCACUGUAACAGCAUUUCUUUACAAUGGCAGAAGAGCUUGCUCUAGAGGGGCGCCUACAACACCCCCAGAGAUUGUCAGUCUGCAUAUUUAUCUGAGCCACAGGUGAAAGCUGGCAUGACAGCCAGGUCACCUCUCUUCAAAGAGGGUAUCUUCCUCCUGACACCCCUGUGAAAUGUCUAAAUGGCUUGGCUACACUUGAAAGUUGGCUCAGAUUAGAGCGUGAAUGCAGAAAGAAAUUGCUAUUCCUGGACAAUUGCAAGUAGGGCCACCCUUACUCCUAAGGAGGAGCACUUUGUUCAUUCCAAGCGCAGUAAACUACACCAGAAGGACAUACCCAUGUCCUGGAAAACAACACCAGCACAGUGGAUUUAUGCUCAGGGUUAAAAUGCCACAAAAAGUUCCAGAAUAACUUCACAGAAGGUAUGCCUUAAUUGUGAUGUCUAAUGUAAACGUAUUAAUGUUGUAGCUCCAAAAUACAAACACAGUGUGUCAAAUCUUUGAAGUAAGUCUUUUUAUUUCUUCCUUGAUCAUUGUUUGACACACUGUGGUCACAGGGGCUCUGAGAAGCACACGUCCUGGCCUCAGUGAGCUGCGGUCCAUGCUUGCACUGUACUUCUGCUGCAGAAUAUGCCAAAGAGAUACACCAUUUGCACCCUGACAGCCCUGUAUGGUGCCAUACUGUCAACAGAGUGCAUCACAAGUUGUGUGUGUGUGGACCCAAGUCAAUCAUCCAGGGUGACAGCAAGCUAUGGCAAGGAGUAAUGUGGGCUUAAGUUAUCUCCUCUGAGGUGCCAGUGCACUGGAGCACACCUAAAACCUAAAACUUUGUCCCAAUCUAACUGGUGGUGGGCUGGAACUAGCUGCUAGAUAGAGCACAGAUGUAGCCUAAAUCCACUAAAAUCAGGUUUCCAUUGGCUCAGGCUAAGACAGGAUCAGGAUCAUAUAACUUCUUGCUCAUCACCAGGAAUCAUUAAUUAGGAUCCCUGUAUUUAUCGACAAGAUUUCUAAAUAUGUUUUCAUCAUACACCUAUUUUAAGAGCAUUUAAGUAAGAUGUUGUUGAGAGUAUCCAAAGUUAGGGAUCCGAACUCCUGAGAGAGAGAGAGGGAGAUGGGGAGAAAUGCCACCCCAGAGAGCACUUCAGAGCUCCUGUGUUACUUUAGCACACUGCAACAACACUGCUCCUAAAGAUUUUGGUUUAUGGUAUUUAAUUCCUUUUGUUCUAUCUCUUUGAGACAGCCUGAAGUCUUGGAUGAAAAAGUGCUGGAGUCUCUCCCAGCUAAUACUCUGCUUUUGUCUGGAUGCUGGCAAUAUCAUGUCUUGCUCCUUGCUAUCAAUCACACAGAGGUCACAGCACUGUUCACUCCGGGAAACUGCCCCAUUGUUUGCAGAAUAAUAAGAGCUUCCUGUACAGACUAUAUUUAUUUAAACACCUAGGACAUCAGAGUACAUUUCUGCCAUAAAUGUAACAGGACCAGUGCUAUUACUCCUUCAAUAUGCUUUAUACACUCUAGAAUCAGGCUAUGGAUUUGGAUCCUUCACUAACCACAUAGGUGGCAAUGGUUACUGAAGGCAAUAAAUAGUACUGCACACCUGAAAUUUAGCA